UACUUUCUCAGGCAUUGUUCUGAGUUUCAAUAGAUUUGACAUUAUGUACUACUUUUUAAAAAAUGCUUUUUUACGUAACAGAUAUUAAUAAACACUGGAUUUAUGUACCAAAUCUCUAUUAUGAAACAAUUCUAUGUUUGGCAACAAACAGCACGUUGAUCUAUUACGCACGCGCAAUCGGCAGCUUGUUACAUUGACUUCUAGGAGUAUCCCUACCAUUGUAAGUGAAAUGUUCCACAAAAUUCUGUAUAUCGCUGAUAUAUCUCAAGAGAAGUAAGGAAAAAGAGCAGUACAAAAAUGUUUGCAUGGGGCGUGGUAAAGCAGUUGAUAUUAAGUAUAUUUUGUAUGCUGCCUUGUAAGAGUCUGAUGUAAGUUAAAAUGAUAAGGUGAAAAAUGCGCAGACCUGCGCAGAACUCACUUGUCGAUUCGCAGUGUCGCAAAGAAUCUUCCCGCUUUGCUACGAUGAGGUGAAUAUGAACGCAAUAGCCGAGUUGUUCCGACAUCGUCCGAACCAACGAAAUUUCGUUUAUCGUUACUGUAAUACUGACGAACAUCGUCAGUACUAGCGUAUGCGGAACUGGUACUGGACGAAGACAUUUGAUCUGCUGAUUAACCUUCGCGCGGCCAAUCGUCUAGCGCAUAAAUACAGCGUCUAUUCCGAGUAUGCAAAGAAAUCGCUAUUUAUGCAGAAAUGUCCACUAUAGCAUUCACAGUCUGGAUUUAACGUGCAUGUUUAUCUGGAUUGAUAAAUUCUGAGAAUUCGAUUGAGCUCACGUCGAGACUCCAUUUCCAAGAAUUAGCGGGAAUAUUCGGAAGCUAAAUUCGGCAACAGGUAAAAUGGACGAAAGUCGGAACGUAAAGCGGAACUUCUGUAUCUCGCUAAAGCGAGACUUUUGUAUCUUAUCUUCCCGCGCAGACGUACAGACAUUGUCCCAUCGCUCUGUAGUUGAAACAGGAGAGUAGGAGAAGUGAAAAAACUUUUAUCGUCGUUACUUCGAGACAAUUAUCAACGGAUUUGUUUAAAGACUGUAUUUGUUCUUCGAGGAAUAUCGAAAUCAUACGUUGGCGAAAUCAACGAACGAGGUUUGCGUACAAGAACAAGCAGUCAACUACCGGUGAUAUACCAGCGAGCAAGUUACACUAUUGUACUAAUUAUUAUACUCCAAAUGAUGUAGUAGAUGAUUGUACUGAUUCCCGGCAAAUGUCAUGGAAAUUACCGACAUGCUUUUUGUUUUUAUAUUGAGCAAUGUCCUAAUCGUCACGUCGACAUUCGAAUGUUCAGCAAAUAAUAAAUAUUGAAAGGAGAUCUCGAUCGUCCAUUACGUCGUCAGAGAAACGGAGAAAUGAAAUACAAAAUCGAUGAUCGAUGAAAUACAAAAUGAUCCUAGAAUUUUAACCGUAUUAGAAAUGGUCCAUUUGAAUCCACAUCGAAUGAACCAUUCCUAGUGGAUCAAAAUCCAGGUAUCGAAUGUGACAACACAUUCAAUAUCAUGUUUACCGCGUCAAUCUUGUACAGUUGAACGAUACAGACUACAGAUUAAUAAUUCGAUUUUGUAGAUGGGCACUUGAUAAUUUAUAACAGACCAAAUUCCUUUGAAAUGUCUGUUUCAACGACAAAGCGACCUUUCAUAGCAAUAGGUAUCUCAAUUGACAAAAUUGUCAUUAUUAGUUACCUGUACAACCAUAUUAAUCCUGACAUGUACUCAAUUAACAUCGCUGUAGCUUACAUGUUUGGGUUGGAAUAUUGAAUGGCCAAGUUAUCGAAUCGCAUUUUUUCGGAUGGACUAUUAACUGUCCAAUUUAUUCAGAUUUUCUCCGAAACUUUUCACCAGGAUAUAUCUUGACGCUUCCGCAAGAUAUUUUACAGAGAUCAUGGUUUUAGCAAGAUAUUUCGUUAGUGUCUCCAUAGGAUUAGGAUAUUCCUUGGUGUGAAAUAAGUCCAUGAAUAAGGACCAGUUUUGUGGCUUCUGAGCUUAUCGAAUCUUAAUCCGCUUAAUUUCUACUUAUGGAUUAUGUGAAAAGUGCUAUGUAAAAGAAUGUCGUGAACAUGUAACAUACACAGGAACAUGUAUUUAAAUCAAUACGAAUCUUCUGCAUUUUAUUAGUCAGUUAUCAUCACCAGCUACACAGUUUUCUUUGAAACCGUCGCAAUAGUAUGGUCCAAAUUGAAAACAAAAACGUUUUGAAUAAUUUAAGUUGAUCUUCAUUUCGAAAAUCCCAUUUCCAUAAUCAAAUAGCUGAAAAGCAGAAGGCCAAGUUGAAAAAUUGAUAAGAACAAAAAAUGUUUAUUUUUGUUCUUCUUUUUAUUUUUAGCAAUAAUCUUAAUUUCCAAAAUACUUAAAAUAUUCUCUUCGUCACAUUAUCUGUUUAUCACAUCGUUAAACCAACAAAAAGAUGUCUACAUGAAUACAAUUCUUAAGGCUGGGAAUCGUUUGUAUACAGGUCAUUGUAACGUAUAGAGAUUUUUCAAGUUGUACAUCGAAC
Molecule: RNA transcript, 2484 nt
Organism: Bombus impatiens (common eastern bumble bee)
Lineage: Eukaryota; Metazoa; Arthropoda; Insecta; Hymenoptera; Apidae
Exons: 4
Source: RefSeq, a predicted model, not a curated record